Molecule: ribosomal RNA, 421 nt
Filed under: uncultured bacterium
Lineage: Bacteria
Description: bacterial SSU rRNA
Rfam family: Bacterial small subunit ribosomal RNA
Source: RNAcentral
UGGGGAAUCUUGGACAAUGGGGGCAACCCUGAUCCAGCCAUGCCGCGUGAGUGAUGAAGGCCUUAGGGUCGUAAAGCUCUUUCGCCUGUGAAGAUAAUGACGGUAGCAGGUAAAGAAACCCCGGCUAACUCCGUGCCAGCAGCCGCGGUAAUACGGAGGGGGUUAGCGUUGUUCGGAAUUACUGGGCGUAAAGCGCACGUAGGCGGACCAGAAAGUUGGGGGUGAAAUCCCGGGGGCUCAACCCCGGAACUGCCUCCAAAACUAUUGGUCUAGAGUUCGAGAGAGGUGAGUGGAAUUCCAAGUGUAGAGGUGAAAUUCGUAGAUAUUUGGAGGAACACCAGUGGCGAAGGCGGCUCACUGGCUCGAUACUGACCUGAGGUGCGAAAGUGUGGGGAGCAAACAGGAUUAGAUACCCUGGGUA